RNAcentral lists this ribosomal RNA (253 nucleotides) under uncultured bacterium. Its description in RNAcentral is "partial 16S ribosomal RNA". It matches the Rfam family "Bacterial small subunit ribosomal RNA", at positions 524 to 776 of the family's 1533-position model. The record is from RNAcentral.
UACGUAGGGGGCAAGCGUUGUCCGGAUUCAUUGGGCGUAAAGAGCGUGUAGGCGGCCAGGUAGGUCGGUUGUGAAAACUGGAGGCUCAACCUUCAGAGGUCGACCGAAACCAUCUGGCUAGAGUCCGGGAGAGGAGAGUGGAAUUCCUGGUGUAGCGGUGAAAUGCGCAGAUAUCAGGAAGAACACCUAUGGCGAAAGCAGCUCUCUGGGACGGUACUGACGCUGAGACGCGAAAGCGUGGGGAGCGAACAGG